UACGUAGGGAGCGAGCGUUGUCCGGAAUGACUGGGUGUAAAGGGAGCGUAGGCGGGAUGGCAAGUCAGAUGUGAAACCUGAGGGCUCAACCUUCAGACUGCAUUUGAAACUGCUGUUCUUGAGUGAAGUAGAGGUAAGCGGAAUUCCUGGUGUAGCGGUGAAAUGCGUAGAGAUCAGGAGGAACAUCGGUGGCGAAGGCGGCUUACUGGGCUUUUACUGACGCUGAGGCUCGAAAGCGUGGGGAGCAAAC
RNAcentral lists this ribosomal RNA (250 nucleotides) under uncultured Ruminococcus sp. Its description in RNAcentral is "partial 16S ribosomal RNA". It matches the Rfam family "Bacterial small subunit ribosomal RNA", at positions 524 to 773 of the family's 1533-position model. The record is from RNAcentral. Lineage: Bacteria; Bacillati; Bacillota; Clostridia; Eubacteriales; Oscillospiraceae.